UACGGGGGGGGCAAGCGUUGUUCGGAAUUACUGGGCGUAAAGGGCUCGUAGGCGGCCAACUAAGUCAGACGUGAAAUCCCUCGGCUUAACCGGGGAACUGCGUCUGAUACUGGUUGGCUUGAAUCCGGGAGAGGGAUGUGGAAUUCCAGGUGUAGCGGUGAAAUGCGUAGAUAUCAGGAAGAACACCCGUGGCGAAAGCGGCUCUCUGGAACGGUACUGACGCUGAGACGCGAAAGCGUGGGGAGCGAACAGG
RNAcentral lists this ribosomal RNA (253 nucleotides) under uncultured bacterium. RNAcentral's name for it is "partial 16S ribosomal RNA". It matches the Rfam family "Bacterial small subunit ribosomal RNA", at positions 524 to 776 of the family's 1533-position model. The record is from RNAcentral.